This 308-nucleotide ribosomal RNA is filed under the name uncultured Enterobacteriaceae bacterium. Its description in RNAcentral is "bacterial SSU rRNA". It matches the Rfam family "Bacterial small subunit ribosomal RNA", at positions 355 to 655 of the family's 1533-position model. Lineage: Bacteria; Pseudomonadati; Pseudomonadota; Gammaproteobacteria; Enterobacterales; Enterobacteriaceae. The record is from RNAcentral.
UGGGAAGUAUUGCACAAUGGGCGCAAGCCUGAUGCAGCCAUGCCGCGUGUAUGAAGAAGGCCUUCGGGUUGUAAAGUACUUUCAGCGAGGAGGAAGGCGUUGUGGUUAAUAACCGCAGCGAUUGACGUUACUCGCAGAAGAAGCACCGGCUAACUCCGUGCCAGCAGCCGCGGUAAUACGGAGGGUGCAAGCGUUAAUCGGAAUUACUGGGCGUAAAGCGCACGCAGGCGGUCUGUCAAGUCGGAUGUGAAAUCCCCGGGCUCAACCUGGGAACUGCAUCCGAAACUGGCAGGCUAGAGUCUUGUAGA